Molecule: ribosomal RNA, 497 nt
Filed under: uncultured bacterium
Lineage: Bacteria
Description: partial 16S ribosomal RNA
Rfam family: Bacterial small subunit ribosomal RNA
Source: RNAcentral
GAUGAACGCUGGCGGCGUGCCUAAUACAUGCAAGUCGAGCGAACGGACGAGAAGCUUGCUUCUCUGAUGUUAGCGGCGGACGGGUGAGUAACACGUGGAUAACCUACCUAUAAGACUUGGAUAACUUCGGGAAACCGGAGCUAAUACCGGAUGAUAUUUUGAACCGCAUGGUUCAAAAGUUCAAGACGGUCUUGCUGUCACUUAUAGAUGGAUCCGCGCUGCAUUAGCUAGUUGGUAAGGUAACGGCUUACCAAGGCAACGAUGCAUAGCCGACCUGAGAGGGUGAUCGGCCACACUGGAACUGAGACACGGUCCAGACUCCUACGGGAGGCAGCAGUAGGGAACCUUCCGCAAUGGGCGAAAGCCUGACGGAGCAACGCCGCGUGAGUGAUGAAGGUCUUCGGAUCGUAAAACUCUGUUAUUAGGGAAGAACAGAUGUGUAAGUAACUGUGCACAUCUUGACGGUACCUAAUCAGAAAGCCACGGCUAACUACGUG